UACGUAGGGUGCAAGCGUUAAUCGGAAUUACUGGGCGUAAAGCGUGCGCAGGCGGUUCGCUAAGACAGAUGUGAAAUCCCCGGGCUUAACCUGGGAACUGCAUUUGUGACUGGCGGGCUAGAGUAUGGCAGAGGGGGGUAGAAUUCCACGUGUAGCAGUGAAAUGCGUAGAGAUGCGGAGGAACACCGAUGGCGAAGGCAGCCCCCUGGGCUGACACUGACGCUCAGGCACGAAAGCGUGGGGAGCAAACAGG
RNAcentral lists this ribosomal RNA (253 nucleotides) under uncultured bacterium. Its description in RNAcentral is "partial 16S ribosomal RNA". It matches the Rfam family "Bacterial small subunit ribosomal RNA", at positions 524 to 776 of the family's 1533-position model. The record is from RNAcentral.